ACAACAAUGUUGUCUUGCAAAUAAAUAAGCAAACAACUUAUUUAGGCUUAGUUUGGUAUUGAAGCCUAUCAAACGCUAUUAAAUAAAAUAGAGUUGAGGAAAAAAUAUAUAGGAAUAUACUUCUACGUUCUCCGAUAGAACCACAAAAAAUAUAUCGUAACCGACUCAUCGCGAUAUGCGGAACGCAAUAUUACAUACGAAAACAAACAUGAUAUUUUGCCAACAUAUUUUCUUACCGCACGUAACGCUAUCUUCCCACAAUUCCAAACGAAGCCUUAGACUAGUUUGAUUAUAUUAUAUGAUUAACGAACUUUAUUAAAUUUUCUGUUGUUACUGGGUAAUUUUUGGCUUUGGGCGUAAGAACUAGGUUUCUUUACUUGAUUCAGUCUAGUAAGAUGGUUUAUUUCGCCUAAUGUUUUUUAAAAUAUUUUUUUCAAAAAUCCUUUUUUGUAACUACUUAUAAGAGUUUGUGGAGUAUCUUAGUAAGCUGGGAUCUUAGCUGAUGUUCAGGAUAGAGAAAAUCACGUAGCCACUUUGACUUGCACCUCAUUUUUCUUCCGUAAGCCGUAGCUUUUUGCUACUGACUUGCUAUACUUCUAACAUAGGCCAUUUCUAUUGCAAGUCGCAAAGAGUUUAAUAGUUGAUAUAUAUUUACAGUUCAAAGUUUAAAGUCUAGUUAUUUUUUAUUUUUCGCCGAAAUUAUGUCUACAAAAAAAAAUAAAUGAGGCAGCAACAUACUGCUAUUCUCUCUCUAGCCCCACCCAAAAAAAUCCACAGCGAGUUAAUCGGCCGGGCCUUAAUGGGCCAGAUCAGAAGCCUAAACCCAAUGAACACUGGAUCAACUUUUUUUCAUAUAACUGACCGUUCCUAGAGCAAGUGGCAAAGAACUUGGUGGUUAAUAUCCGAAAUCUAAGUUCGAAUCCUAAUUGAUUCACAUUUCCUGCUAAGUUUAUUUAAUUUUAGAAAUAAACAAAUCGGGUAGCGUGCUACCUAUCUCUCAAUUUUUAUUUUAUUUUAUUUUUUUUUAUAUGGUGGUCGUUUUGAAUUGAGCGGAACCACAUGAUCUUCCGAAACAAGGUUAAUUCACAAUUUGGCUUACUUGCUUUGAAGUAUCAAUCAACUUUUAAACUCUUGGGAGGUGCUUUGUUGAGUUUCAAACUGUUUUUCCUUCUGAACUUUCACAAAUUUUGAUUGUCUCCAUCAUUAUGACUAAGUUCAUUUCCUCACAAUAAAUAAAACAGGUAGUUUGCUAUCUUUUUCUUAAAAAAACUCUACACCGUAAAAUUAAGCAGGUGGAGGGAUUCUGUAUGUAGUUGCCGCUUAUUCGUAUUUGCUAUUACCUCUGCCUCGUUGUAGUUGCAUGGUACGUGGUUUAUUUUUUCAGUACUUCGUAUCUAGUUAUAAAAGUGAUUCGUUUAUACUUAGUUAUCUAGCGUACGUAAUUCAUUGAGAUUAAAUUGAACAUUUCAAAUCAUCUUUACGUGCGUGUAAAACAAACUCCAACUAAGCAACCAAUAAUAAAAAAAAAAAGAGACAAAAUUUAGGACUCAUCACCACCAUCACAACUUAGACUUUUUAUCUCAAUAAAAUGUACAACCAUGCAUUAGACUCAAACACAAACCUUUAAAAAGUCCAUGCAUGCCAUAUCCUACGCUCAAACAUUUGCGCAAUUAAAAAGCAAACAAGCUUCUCCAAACCAACACACAAAAGAUGGCCAUGCAACAAAUUAACUAUCUAUACAUGCACCACUCACACAAUAAGAAAACAAGGAACUACCAUUUUCACACACCAUUAGUAUAUAGUGACUAUGAAUUACUAGCACUGUACGAUCGAUCGAUCGAUCGACGGAAUUACACCUUCGCCAUGGCGUCGAACCUGCGCUGCUUGGCCUGGAACUUCUGCUUCACGUACACGUCCAUGUAGUCUCCGAACGCGAACGUGGGGUAUGCGGCGGCGGCAUUGGUGGCGGGGCCGAUGGUGGCCUCGAGGGCGGGGUUGUAGAAGGAGGCGAUGGAGCGGCGGUUGCCGUCGCGGGUGGCGAGCACGCGGUGCCAGACGCUCUUGUACCGGCCGUUGCUGAUGACCUCGAUCUGGUCGCCGGUGUUGAUGACGAUGGCGUCGGCCAGCGGCUGGACGUCGACCCAGCGGCCGUCUUUGAGGAUCUGCAGGCCGCCGACCUCGUCGUCCUGGAAGAGGAGGAUGACGCCACCGGCGUCAGUGUGGGCGCGCAGGCCCGUGGCGAGGUCGGGGUGGGGGCACGGCGGGUAGUGGCUGACUUUCGUCCCGAAGAACGGCGCGUAGUCGUCGCCGCUGGUGAAUGCGCCCUUCAUUAUAUCCUUCUCCAGGCCUAGGUUCUCUUCCAUGAUCUCCAGCAUCUUCUCCGCCAGCUUUUUCAACUCGCGCCUAUACUCCAUCAUAGUUUCCCUACAAGUUUUUUUUUUUUUUUUUUUUUUUUUUUUUGAGUGAAUAAUUUAUGAGGGACGGUAUAAUUUACUUGAUCCAAAUUAAAAGUAAAAAAAAAAAAAAAAAAAUGUUGUACAUAUGAAUGCACCCCUUGUUGCUUUUCUUUUUCGUUGUUCCCCCACGUAUUUUUCUAAAUUUUGAUCGUUAUAAAUUGAAUUAUUUUGAAUAUUCAAAUUGAGGAUUCGCCAAACUGUAACCGGUUUUCAGAUUGUUUAUAGCUAAUAAGCUAUUAAAAUUUACUGGAACCUUUAAUUCCUAAACUGAUUGGAAUAAUAACUCGAUGGAAAUCAAUUGACUUAAUUAUGAAAAAAAAAGGGUGAUCGAUCGAGGGGGAUUCAGUAAAAACUUAUCAAAUUCCUUCAUAAAAAAUUAAAUUUAAUGACGACAAAAGAAGAAACGAGGAACCGGUGAAUGUUCAGUUAUACUUUAAAUAGCAAUAUUAAUUUGCGAUUUCUUUAUUAAGUUACGUAUGACGGAAUCAUGAUAUAUAUCAAAUUGUAUGAUCAUCUUGCUUUAAUAUUCGCGAUGCCAAUCCCAUCUAAAACAUUUUCAUGCCAAGUGAUUUUUCAAGGGUCGCCGUUUUACAAAUAUCAGGUUAAUAAAUUAAUUGAUUUAUGGGCUCUAGCUAGCAGGUUAGUAAACAAAUUAAUUAACGAUUGUGUACACAUGUUGUUAAACCUCGCACAAUAAUCCAUACUUCUUUUUUUUUUUUUCCAAAAAAUUUAAAAAAAAAACCCCCAUAAAGAUUAAUUAGAAAGUUGCAUUGAGAUAUAUAAGAAAACCAGAUUCAUAACGAUUUAGUGUUCAUUUGUUAAUCUUUGCUUGUGCAAUCACCAGCAAGUGUAGUAAUUAAUAUACUAGGAAAUAUAUCUUAAUUUGAUCAUAUCAUAUGUACGAGAUCAUCUUACUUAAACUCUGGAGGGUUGGAUGGCCACUGAUUAUCAUCUUGGAGAGUGAACACAUCCUCCCAAUCCAUAUCAUCCAACUCGUUAACAGCGAGCCCCUCGCCUUCUCGGUCCACCAUUUCCUUCAGCAUCUGUACAGGCUUCGACUCCUUGAACCCUUCCUCCCUUAACUUGUAGCAUUCGGCGCAAACCUUCUUCACGCGAUCGAGUAGCUCCACCGGGAUCCCAUGGUUCACCAGCUGCAAUGCAACGCACACAGUAUCGCCGAAGAAUAUCAAAACUAGCGAGAAAAGUAAAGCGAUCGAAUUCCAAACAAGUGUGUCAUGCAUGCUACCUGAAAGAAUCCCCACUCUUCGCAUCCGUUAGCGAUCUGGGCCAUGGUUUCGGCGCGCUCCUCGCCUUCCAACUUCGAGAAAUCGAUGACGGGGAUCACCAUCUUUCGAUAAGAUAGAUACGAGAAGGAGAUAUAAAUAAAUUAAGAAGAGAAAAAUGUAAGGGGGGAGGAGGGUUAAUUUGUUGCUAGAGCUUUGGAAGACUCUUCAACUGCAAUUGAAUGACUGCAAAGGGGAGAGGCAAAGGCAUCCUUUUAUAAUAGCACAAACUUGGUGUCAAAUGUUAGUUUAUUCUCACGGGAACUGUAUCUGGAUUAAUCAAAUGAGGCAUCAUUUUGGGCGGUGUACACUGCUCUUAUUUGUUUAUCAUUUGAUCAUAUGUAUAAAUAUAUAUAUAGUUUGAAAUAACAUAAAAGAAUAUGAAGGUCAAUGUAGCAUUGGAGGGAUAUUAAAUGCCCACAGCUCAAGCAUGCCCAUGAGGUGAACAUAUAUUAAUCAAUAUAUUAGUGAUUGAUUUUGCUUGCUUUGACUUAGUAUAAGAGGGUGAUUUGUCACCUUAAUUAGGGCAAUAUUAAUCAAGCUCUCCAAGAUUAAAAGUGCCCUCCAUCUCUCCACAUUGUCUAGAUAAUUUCAUAUUGAAGCAUAAUUGCCACUAAUCUGGCCUAAUCGAAGUAGUUAACUUCACGUUAAGACAUGAAAGCGUUUGCGAAGGGUUUUCGUUAUCUGGUCUGUGAUUCAUGAGACAUGCCCUAUUUGGUUUGCUUCGGUCCGGUUUUUCUUAAAUUGGCAACUAAUUUGCCGAAAGAUCUUCUUAAUUUAGGUUUAGAUCUUUAAUCCUAAGCUAGUUGUGGAAAAGGAACUUCUCUAAACAUGGUUUCUUUUUUUCUUUGUUUUUUACAAAGUGAAAUAUAUUUUCUUUUUGUAUAGGAUGACUGAAUAGUUAUAGAUGGAGACCACAUGAUAUGGACCCCCUGAUCACAUGAAUAAAUUGGACAAACAUAGUUCUCAACAUGUUUUCUCCUCUUUUUUUUUCAAAAAAAAAAAAAAAAAACAUAGUUCUUAUAAUGAUAUGUUUUGUUGCAACAUCUUUUUGAAUCAUAUGUACCAUCCUACAAGUUGCAAUAUUCUAACCCUGCCGACUUAGGAAGCAUAUCUUUGAUGUGAAUCUUGUAAUCUUUCUAAUUCCAAGCUGCACCUGAUUCUGAGUUGUUAGCUGCUGCAAUUCUUAAGUGAGAUUCUCAACAACAACUGGCUAAAAGUUGUACUUCUCAUUACAACAGGACGCAAGGAUAUCUACAUAUGUACAUAUUUGUUUAUAUAAGAAGUCGGUAAAUUGGUAAUUGCAAUAAAAUAACAAACUAGGAUUACAACUCAGUGGGGGUUUUCUUAGAUUAGGGAGAUAAUAUUUAAAUUAAAGUACAAUUAAGGACAGGUUUGUCUAAGACAGCAACAGUUGAUCAAUCAUUAGGGACUCCAAUUCCUAGUUUUGAUGUUGGGAGUUAGUUGGGCAUCUCUAUGCCGACUUCGCGCUCUUUCGGGGGUGGUGUGUGGAGGGGGGUUGACAUUGUUGCAUUAUCCCUUUAACUUUGCUUCUCUCAAUUAAAAACUUGCAUUUUUCUUAAUCUCUGACUUUUUUCACAUGGAAUGUAACAUGCUAAUCGGUAUGAGUUUUGACUCAAGAGGAGAAUAAUAUCCCCUGAUCUCAGCCGCGCACCUUGGCCGAGCUGAGAUAAUCUAAUGGAGGAGGAAGAAGACUUUGGUGGAUUAAACAACACAAUACCAUGACAAUAUCUCCUCUAGACCUUCUAACUUUCUUGUCAUUUUGUCACUAACUUAUUUUUUUAGUUGAAUUGGUAGAAUGGUAAUGCAAUCGCUAAGUAUUAAGGAAUAGAGUAGUUUUUUUGUUUUUAAUCUUCUAAAUAAUACUCUAUUAUUUUAUCAUUCACAAUCGCAAACCAUUUAUUUGUGUGUGCAUUGCAUUAUGGUGCAUAAAUAAAACUUACAGAAUCUCACUUUGUCGCUUCCUUUUAUCAGAAAAAUAGGGGAUGAAUAAUUUGAUGCAAUAUAUUAUGUUUCUCGUCUCGUAUACUAAUCGUGGAUGAAAUAUUCUUGGCAUGCACAAUAUUCGCUUACCGAUUUGGAACAUCAUUCUCAUAUUUCUUUUUUUUUUUUUAACAUUUCAUUGAUGAAUGAAAGAAAAAGCACCCAAGUACAGAAGUUACAAUGAUCUUCACAGCAAACAAAACAAAUCGAUCAGAGUAUAAAACACAGCUCAAUCAAAAGAGGCAAAAGACCACAAGGAAGAUCACAAAUAAAAUAGAAGUUCAUGCAUACGUUAGCGAUGACUUAUGAUAGCUAGCGUUCUAAUUAAGUUGUAACCAUAAUUUAAAGAGGGGAGAAUUUAAUUUAUUCUAUAAUGAUAAUCAUUGAGUUUUGUUUGAGAAAUGCAUGUAGUAAUGGUUUUUGUGACUGCGAUAUUAUAUAUGUUCGAAUGUUUAAGUUCAUAUUAUUAUCUUGUUAUGGAUAAGCAUGAUGUUGAAUCCUUUAUUUGGUCCAGACCCUUAUGUCUAAGAGUUAUGUAUUCGCAUUGUGCGGAUAAAUAAUACAUAGAACAGUAAAACGUCAACAAUUACAUGGUAAAAUACACAUUCAUGCUAUUGCUACGUAAUAUGUUGCUUACCAUAAUGCAGUAGAAUCUCUUGUUACUAGCAAUCAAAAAUUGAUCAAAAAUCUGACAUUUUGAUUGUGCUUUCCUCUGCUGUGCUGUCCUUAGAUGCAUGUUCAGAAGAAAGAAAGAAAGAAGUGUGUUUAUGGAACUUAUAUUUUCAAAUUUAUCAAUGUGUUAUUUGUGCAGAACAGUAGGAAACAUACUACAAAAAAAUAAAAGAAAAAAAAGAAGUUUUGUACCAUGACUUAAAUUUGGGAAUGACCUGUAUUUGCAACUUUGCAUGGCUGCAUACUCAAUAUAGAGAUACAUUAAUUCCACUUGAUUGAAAAGAUACAAUUAAUACCAACUGUCCCUAGAGCAAUUGGCAAAGGGCUUUGUGGUUGGUAUCCGAGACCUAAGUUCGAAUCCUAGUUGAUUCCCAUUUCUAGCUAAGUUUAUUUCUAAAUGAAAUAAACGAAGCGGAUAGCGUGCUACCUAUCUCUCAAAAAAAAAAAAAAAGAAAAGAUACAAUUAACUAGGUAUUUAAUUUCCAGCAUAAAAUAAUGAAUUUAUCAAGUAUGUGAAAGUAACUUACACUGUUAAUUAGUCCCAAAACUCUUACGAAUGUUCACCUUUAACCCAUAUUCAAAAUUUAAAAUAAUUUUUUAUUUUAAUAAAUUUAUAGUUGUGAGAAUUGCAUAAAAUAUACUAACUAAAUCUUUAAAGAUAAAUAAUACAUUCAAGUUUUAAAGUCAAAUUGUCGUUGAUUGAUUCAAAGAAAAUAAAUUGAAAAGUUGGAAAGUAAAAUUAAAAUUUUGAAAGAUUGUAUUCAAAAUAAUUCAUAGUUUAGAUAAAUUCUGUAUUAGUUUUAUCCAAAAAAAUUGGAAAAAAAAAGGUAAAUGGUUUUUCUUGGGUUAGAGACAAAGAAUCCUAAUAUGCAGAAAAGGAAAAACACAAGUGAUUGCAUAAAACAAACAAACUACUCAUGAUUUGGUUGUACAAACUACAAACUCCAUUUUCUUUUCUAAUCCCAGUUGUCAUUCUUUGAUUUUUCUUUUUUUUUUUGAGAGAUAGAUAGCACGCUACUCACUUCGUUUAUUUCAUUUAGAAAUAAACUUAGCUAGAAAUGUGAAUCAACUAGGAUUCGAAUUUGGAAUCUCAGAUACCAACCACCAAACUCUUUACCACUUGCUCUAGAGACAGUUGGUUAUCCCAGUUAAUUGCCAUUCAAAACGCAUAACAAGUUGUUCUGAUGCGCCAGUAAUAUUCAGCCCAUAAUUGUUCAAUAAUUUUCCUAAACAAGAUGUAAUUUAAGAUCUGGAUUGGGAUUGGGGUUGCAACUCUUGAGGAGAAAUAGAGUGAAACAAAUAAAAUUUUUAAAAAAAUAAUAAGAGGAGUUGCCGUGUGAUGACUCAGAACUUUUUUUUUUCUAUUAAAUUAAAUUAGGCUCAAGUAUAUUCAUCCCCCCACGGCCAAGUUUCCAGAGAAGGGUUAUAGUGCAAUGUGUCGGUCCCCCUUUCCCACACUCACCCGUCUCUUCCUCCCACGCACAAACACAUAAUAAUAAUAAUAAUAAUAAUAAUAAUAAGAUUAUUAUUAGUAGGGUGCAUGAAUUUCUUGUUUGGUCCUCAAACUAUAGAAUUGUUACACUCUAAUUUCAUAAUCUAAUUUAGUUAACUAAAUAUUAAUGUAUCAUUGAUAUAAAAAGUAAGGUAAUAUCUUAAUUAUUAGCGCAUCAUUAAAUACAAUAUUGUUAUAUCAUUUGUACGUUAGUAAUACAUCAAUAUUCAGUCAAGUAAACUGGGUUAUAGAAAUUAAUUGCAACAAUUUCAAACUUCAAGCUAAAAAAUAUAGCAAAUUAAAAUUUAAGAACCAAAAUACCAUCUAUCUUAUAGUUUGAGGAAAAAUGCAAUUUACCCUUAUUAUUACGGUGAUCAUCUCACUUUUGAGGUGUAUGCAUGGUGUGGUAGUCCACAUGGGGAGGGCUCUGGAGGUUCAUGGAAUCUACUGUUUCCAAUAUCAUCCUCUUCUACGUCAGUGCUUAUUUAAUUUUUUAAAAGUUUUUUUAACUGUUUUGGGGUCAAAUGGCAAGAGCAAAUAUACUUUUGAAAGGAUGCUGCAGGAGUAGUUUUACGAUUAUUAUAAAGUUUGUUGAUGUGCUGAUAAUGACGUAUAAUAUACGUUGAUUGGUUCAUGAAUGCGCCUACGACGCUCUUUAGCUCAUUAGUGGUCUUUUGGAGGGUCGCAAAAGGGUAUUAGAUAUAAAACUACAAAAGUAUCUUUUUCAUUUAGCUUAAGAUUUUGGAUAAUAAUGAUUAUUUCACAAACCUCUCAAUCCAUCAUGCAUGCGUAUGAAAUUAAGUGGCUGCUAACUAUAUAAGACUAAGUACAAACUAUUAUUCUUUUAUCACAUCAUGACUUUUAGAUAAUGUGAGGUACUGAGUAUAGAUAAUUAAAAUAACAUUCUUUAAUGAGAGAAAAUUACCAUUUUAUAUAUUUUCUUUUGUCAUAUAUAUUAUUUUAUAUGAUAUCAAAAUAAGAUAUCCGGAAUUUGAAUUUUUCCUCAGCCUUGUUUCAUUUAAUUUUCUCUUGAUUGUUUAGAUCCAUGCUUUUAGAUCGUAGUCAAAAUCUGCUAACAUGUGAGAGAAGUAUUGACCAUAAAAAGUUAAAAUACAGUUCUUCACUAAUUUAAACUUUUAUAGAAAUUAGUUGUUUCACAAUUGUUACCUCUGAGUAAUUAUUUUCUAAAGAAAAUAUAUUGGUAUUAGAAAAAUAAUUUGAAGGGAGUGGAACAACAAUUUCGAAGUUGACCUAACACAACUGUAUUUAAGUUAAUCUUAAUAAAGAUUAUUACUAUAUCAAGGUAUGAGUUGAUAUCUGUGACACGUAUCAGGUAAUCUAAAGCCUUUUGUACUAAUUAAAACAGAUAGUUUGACCUCCACCAUUUUAUAAUUAUUUGAUUUUAGCUUCUUGAUUGGUGAACAAUCAAGGUGGCAAAUAUAUUAGCC
RNAcentral lists this long non-coding RNA (9355 nucleotides) under Ananas comosus (pineapple). Its description in RNAcentral is "long non-coding RNA (ACOM_LNC025182)". The record is from RNAcentral. Lineage: Eukaryota; Viridiplantae; Streptophyta; Magnoliopsida; Poales; Bromeliaceae.